Gossypium raimondii (Peruvian cotton) is the source of this 553-nucleotide long non-coding RNA. RefSeq lists it as uncharacterized. Lineage: Eukaryota; Viridiplantae; Streptophyta; Magnoliopsida; Malvales; Malvaceae. The record is from RefSeq and is a predicted model, not a curated record. The transcript is spliced from 2 exons.
AAAAAACAUUUCCAGCUUUAUUUUUUAGAAAAACAGAGAGCAGUUUGGUUCUCUCUUAGCCUUCAACUCCGGUCAACAGGGCCACCGCCUGUGCCGCCGUGACUCCGCCGUAGGCGAUGGUCGGAGCGACGCAAAGAUCGGGUCCUUCACCGAUUUAAAGGUCAUUUGAAGGUCGAAGCUUCUGGGCUCGAAAGCCGAAAGAAGAGAAACCCUAUGGCCUCCCUUCGGUCCCGAUUUCACCGACCAAGACGGUUCCGGCGACGGACCUUGCGUGCGGCCCUAGGUGUCAGACGAGGCCAACGGCGGUGGCAGAGGCAUGCUCGAGAAGACGAAGCGGCGCGCGUGGGCAGAGGCGGCCAACGGCGCCCUAGGGUUUCUCUUCUUCUGCUGAAAACAUUUGUUUGUGGGCUAGGGUUGUAUUGGGCUGGCAUCAUUGGGCUUUGGGUUUAUUUUUUGUAAAAUGGACUGUGACUGUUUUAUUUAAUUUGGUUUGUAUUGGGCCCCAGGCAAAAUUUGGGCUCUACAACUAUUAUAUCGAUUUUUUUAACUGCCA